This 136-nucleotide small nuclear RNA is filed under the name Erinaceus europaeus (western European hedgehog). RNAcentral's name for it is "U1 spliceosomal RNA (ENSEEUG00000021708.1)". It matches the Rfam family "U1 spliceosomal RNA", at positions 30 to 166 of the family's 166-position model. From Rfam's summary of the family: U1 is a small nuclear RNA (snRNA) component of the spliceosome (involved in pre-mRNA splicing). Its 5' end forms complementary base pairs with the 5' splice junction, thus defining the 5' donor site of an intron. The record is from RNAcentral. Lineage: Eukaryota; Metazoa; Chordata; Mammalia; Eulipotyphla; Erinaceidae.
UCACAAAGGUGGCUUUCCCUGGGAGCAGGUUUAUUCAUUGCACUCCGGAUGUGCUGACUCCUGCAAUUUCCCCAAAUGUGGGAAACUCGACUGCAUAAUUUGUGGUAUUGAGGGAAUGUGUUCAUGCUCUCCCCUG